This is a long non-coding RNA of Sebastes umbrosus (honeycomb rockfish), 202 nucleotides long. RefSeq lists it as uncharacterized. The record is from RefSeq and is a predicted model, not a curated record. NCBI's taxonomy places the organism in Eukaryota, Metazoa, Chordata, Actinopteri, Perciformes, Sebastidae. The transcript is spliced from 3 exons.
GAGGUGCAGGGGAUACAGUUACUCAGGCCAUUGGGUUGGUUCAUAUAAGUCCCAUUCACACAGGGGCUGCACCGUGUGCCUGACUGCUGUGUGCAGUCUCUUUGAACAACUGAACCUUCAUGACAUUUCAGACAGCAUCUCCCGUCCCUUGUUUCAUAUUCCUCAGGAAGACAGCACAUCACUGGUGCCAUGAGUGCAGCAA